This 740-nucleotide ribosomal RNA is filed under the name Zasmidium citrigriseum. RNAcentral's name for it is "eukaryotic LSU rRNA". It matches the Rfam family "Eukaryotic large subunit ribosomal RNA", at positions 95 to 871 of the family's 3401-position model. The record is from RNAcentral. Lineage: Eukaryota; Fungi; Ascomycota; Dothideomycetes; Mycosphaerellales; Mycosphaerellaceae.
GAAGCGGCAACAGCUCAAAUUUGAAACCUGGCGCUUGCGUCUGGAUUGUAAUUUGUAGAGGAUGCUUCUGGGCAGCGGCCGUUCUAAGUUCCUUGGAACAGGACGUCAUAGAGGGUGAGAAUCCCGUAUGUGACCGGCGCGCACCCUCCACGUAGCUCCUUCGACGAGUCGAGUUGUUUGGGAAUGCAGCUCUAAAUGGGAGGUAAAUUUCUUCUAAAGCUAAAUAUUGGCCAGAGACCGAUAGCGCACAAGUAGAGUGAUCGAAAGAUGAAAAGCACUUUGGAAAGAGAGUUAAAAAGCACGUGAAAUUGUUGAAAGGGAAGCGCUUCCAACCAGACUCCGCGGCGGUGUUCCGCCGGUCUUCUGACCGGUCCACUCGCCGCCGUGGGGCCAACAUCGUCUGGGGCCGCCGGAUAAGACCGGAGGAAUGUAGCUCAUUGAGUGUUAUAGCCUCCGGUGAUGCGGCGCGUCCCGGGCGAGGUCCGCGCUUCGGCAAGGAUGUUGGCGUAAUGGUUGGCAGCGGCCCGUCUUGAAACACGGACCAAGGAGUCUAACAUCUAUGCGAGUGUUCGGGUGUCAAACCCCUACGCGUAAUGAAAGUGAACGGAGGUGGGAGCUUCGGCGCACCAUCGACCGAUCCUGAUGUCCUCGGAUGGAUUUGAGUAAGAGCAUAGCUGUUGGGACCCGAAAGAUGGUGAACUAUGCCUGAAUAGGGUGAAGCCAGAGGAAACUCUGGUGGA